Molecule: long non-coding RNA, 99 nt
Organism: Amblyraja radiata (thorny skate)
Lineage: Eukaryota; Metazoa; Chordata; Chondrichthyes; Rajiformes; Rajidae
Exons: 3
Source: RefSeq, a predicted model, not a curated record
GAUGAUUAGCCACGAUCAGACUGAAUGGUGGUACUGGCUCGAAGGGCUGAAUGGCCUACCCCUGCACUUAUUUUCUAUCGAAUGGUAUAAUUUAACAUA